AGAGUUUGAUCAUGGCUCAGAUUGAACGCUGGCGGCAUGCCUUACACAUGCAAGUCGAACGGUAACGCGGGGCAACCUGGCGACGAGUGGCGAACGGGUGAGUAAUACAUCGGAACGUGCCCAGUAGUGGGGGAUAGCCCGGCGAAAGCCGGAUUAAUACCGCAUACGACCUACGGGUGAAAGCGGGGGAUCGCAAGACCUCGCGCUAUUGGAGCGGCCGAUGUCAGAUUAGCUAGUUGGUGGGGUAAAAGCCUACCAAGGCGACGAUCUGUAGCUGGUCUGAGAGGACGACCAGCCACACUGGGACUGAGACACGGCCCAGACUCCUACGGGAGGCAGCAGUGGGGAAUUUUGGACAAUGGGGGCAACCCUGAUCCAGCCAUGCCGCGUGCGGGAAGAAGGCCUUCGGGUUGUAAACCGCUUUUGUCAGGGAAGAAACGGUCUGCGCUAAUACCGCGGACUAAUGACGGUACCUGAAGAAUAAGCACCGGCUAACUACGUGCCAGCAGCCGCGGUAAUACGUAGGGUGCAAGCGUUAAUCGGAAUUACUGGGCGUAAAGCGUGCGCAGGCGGCUUUGCAAGACAGAUGUGAAAUCCCCG
RNAcentral lists this ribosomal RNA (600 nucleotides) under uncultured bacterium. RNAcentral describes it as "bacterial SSU rRNA". It matches the Rfam family "Bacterial small subunit ribosomal RNA", at positions 8 to 605 of the family's 1533-position model. The record is from RNAcentral.